RNAcentral lists this long non-coding RNA (364 nucleotides) under Lathyrus oleraceus (garden pea). Its description in RNAcentral is "Pisum sativum (pea) long non-coding RNA (PSAT_LNC006410)". The record is from RNAcentral. Lineage: Eukaryota; Viridiplantae; Streptophyta; Magnoliopsida; Fabales; Fabaceae.
AAGAAUUAGUGUUAGUUGUUAGUCAAACUCGACAAGACAUCGCAUCUCGUGCCUACGUAUCUCAUCUGAACAUGAGAAUCAGAGUUGCCGUAGUUCGGCUACGGAGGGACAAAGGUCUCGAUUGCAACUAGGGCAAGAGAAAGGGAAAGUCUCGAUCGCAACGAGGGCGAGAGAAAGGAAAAGGCUCGAUCGCAACGAGGGCGAGAGAAAGGAAAAGGCUCGAUCGCAACGAGGGCGAGAGAAAGGAUCGCAACGAGGGCGAAAGCAAACAAGGAUUAGUCUAAACUAAACCUAACUUGCACAGGAAGCAAGUCAAACAAACAUACAAGCACAGGUAGCACACACUAUACACAAGCAAGGGGCU